RNAcentral lists this transfer RNA (73 nucleotides) under Jatropha curcas. It matches the Rfam family "tRNA". Rfam says of the family: Transfer RNA (tRNA) molecules are approximately 80 nucleotides in length. Lineage: Eukaryota; Viridiplantae; Streptophyta; Magnoliopsida; Malpighiales; Euphorbiaceae. The record is from Rfam by way of RNAcentral.
AGAGAUGUAGCUUAGAUGGUAAAGUGCUCACUUUGCAAGGGAGAGGUACGGCGAUCGAUACUCCGCAUUUCCA